AUACGGAGGAUCCGAGCGUUAUCCGGAUUUAUUGGGUUUAAAGGGUGCGCAGGCGGCCAUUUAAGUCAGCGGUUAAAUCGUGGGGCUCAACCCCAUUCUGCCGUUGAUACUGGGUGGCUUGAUUGCGGUCGAGGUUGGCGGAAUUCGUUGUGUAGCGGUGAAAUGCAUAGAUAUGACGAAGAACACCGAUUGCGUAGGCAGCUGACCAGACCGCAAAUGACGCUCAUGCACGAAAGUGCGGGGAUCGAACAGGAUUAGAUACCCUGGUAGUCCGCACAGUAAACGAUGAAUACUUGUUUUCGGCGAUAUAAUGUCGGAGGCAAAGCGAAAGCGAUAAGUAUUCCACCUGGGGAGUAUGCCGGCAACGGUGAAACUCAAAUGAAUUGGCGGGG
Molecule: ribosomal RNA, 392 nt
Filed under: uncultured bacterium
Lineage: Bacteria
Description: partial 16S ribosomal RNA
Rfam family: Bacterial small subunit ribosomal RNA
Source: RNAcentral